RNAcentral lists this ribosomal RNA (476 nucleotides) under uncultured bacterium. Its description in RNAcentral is "bacterial SSU rRNA". It matches the Rfam family "Bacterial small subunit ribosomal RNA", at positions 335 to 800 of the family's 1533-position model. The record is from RNAcentral.
ACUCCUACGGGAGGCAGCAGUGGGGAAUAUUGCACAAUGGGCGCAAGCCUGAUGCAGCCAUGCCGCGUGUAUGAAGAAGGCCUUCGGGUUGUAAAGUACUUUCAGCAGUGAGGAAGGUGGGUAUGUUAAUAGCAUAUUCAUUUGACGUUAGCUGCAGAAGAAGCACCGGCUAACUCCGUGCCAGCAGCCGCGGUAAUACGGAGGGUGCGAGCGUUAAUCGGAAUUACUGGGCGUAAAGCGCAUGCAGGUGGUUUGUUAAGUCAGAUGUGAAAGCCCGGGGCUCAACCUCGGAAUUGCAUUUGAAACUGGCAAACUAGAGUACUGUAGAGGGGGGGUAGAAUUUCAGGUGUAGCGGUGAAUGCGUAGAGAUCUGAAGGAAUACCGGUGGCGAAGGCGGCCCCCCUGGACAGAUACUGACACUCAGAUGCGAAAGCGUGGGGAGCAAACAGGAUUAGAUCCCCCUGGUAGGCUCUGGC